CCUACGGGUGGCAGCAGUGGGGAAUAUUGCACAAUGGGGGAAACCCUGAUGCAGCGACGCCGCGUGAGUGAAGAAGGAAUUCGUUAUGUAAAGCUCUAUCAGCAGGGAAGAAAAUGACGGUACCUGAGUAAUAAGCCCCGGCUAACUACGUGCCAGCAGGCGCGGUAAUACGUAGGGGGCCAGCGUUAUCCGGAUUUACUGGGUGUAAAGGGAGCGUAGACGGCAGAGCAAGUCUGUAGUGAAAGGCGGGGGCUCAACCCCCGGACUGCAAUUGAAACUGUAAGGCUGGAGUGCAGGAGAGGUAAGUGGAAUUCGUGGUGUAGCGGUGAAAUGCGUAGAUAUUAGGAGGAACACCAGUGGCGAAGGCGGCUUACUGAACUGUAACUGACGUUGAGGCUCGAAAGCGUGGGGAGCAAACAGGAUUAGAUACCCGUGUAGUC
This 440-nucleotide ribosomal RNA is filed under the name uncultured bacterium. RNAcentral describes it as "partial 16S ribosomal RNA". It matches the Rfam family "Bacterial small subunit ribosomal RNA", at positions 338 to 795 of the family's 1533-position model. The record is from RNAcentral.